This 77-nucleotide small RNA is filed under the name Flavobacterium sp. 5. RNAcentral describes it as "Flavo-1 RNA". The record is from RNAcentral. Lineage: Bacteria; Pseudomonadati; Bacteroidota; Flavobacteriia; Flavobacteriales; Flavobacteriaceae.
GUUUAGCCCUGAUCGCUCAAUUGCCUUUCCUUUUUUUCUUUAGAAAAGGAAAGAUUUAGUGUAGAGCAGGAUCAACG